CAUUCCGUCUUCCCACUUCUGACCAGCCUUUGACGAACGGGUAUAUAAGGAGGCUUGAAACAUCAGUCCUGCUCAGUUGGCUACGGGACUGCAAGCGAGAAGGAGCUCCCCACUCCUGGACACCUUGACUCAGACAUCAUCGAAGCCUUAUAAGGAGCCACGGAACACUAAUCCAACUCCGUAGGCUCUAGGAUGGCUGGCUUUUCCCCCUACAUCUUCGACCAGCCUUCACCGAAGCGUAUAUAAGAAACUGCGUAACACAAGUGCGGCUCAGUUGGCUCUAAGACCGCGAGUUGGAAGGAGCUCUCUACUUCCUUACGAUGAUCCAGUAUUUUCUGUACCUCCUCUGUACCCAAUCUAAGUGGAAUAAUUUACAUCAUACUA
This is a long non-coding RNA of Nasonia vitripennis (jewel wasp), 384 nucleotides long. RefSeq lists it as uncharacterized. The transcript is spliced from 2 exons. The record is from RefSeq and is a predicted model, not a curated record. NCBI's taxonomy places the organism in Eukaryota, Metazoa, Arthropoda, Insecta, Hymenoptera, Pteromalidae.